AUACGGAGGGUGCAAGCGUUAAUCGGAUUCAUUGGGCGUAAAGAGCGCGUAGGCGGGAAGGCAAGUCAGAUGUGAAAGACCGGGGCUCAACCCCGGGACCGCAUUUGAAGCUAUUUUUCUUGAGGAUAGGUGGGGAAAGCGGAAUUCCACAUGUAGCGGUGAAAUGCGUAGAGAUCUGGAGGAAUACCGAUGGCGAAGGCAGCCAUCUGGCCUAACACUGACGCUGAGGUGCGAAAGCAUGGGGAGCAAACAGGAUUAGAAACCCCAGUAGUCC
RNAcentral lists this ribosomal RNA (274 nucleotides) under uncultured bacterium. RNAcentral's name for it is "partial 16S ribosomal RNA". It matches the Rfam family "Bacterial small subunit ribosomal RNA", at positions 523 to 796 of the family's 1533-position model. The record is from RNAcentral.